UGCUGUGACAGAGUGGACGUUUUGAUCUCUGAGAACUUUCUUCACAUUUCAGAAAAUAACAGUGACCUCUUUGGAUCUUUAAACUACAGUCUAGAGUGAGCAGACUUCAGAAGGCUCAGUCAUGUAACGACUACGUUCGUCAUUAAUGCAAAGCAACGUGACAGGAAAAUUGGAAGAAUAUGGGAAAACCUCAAAUACUUCAAUGAGGAAAACAAAACCAAAGGCUGCACGGUCAAAUCAGUACAGUCAACUGAGGAAGGUGGAUUCCAUCAACUUGGGAGCAAAUGUGGGGACUGAAUUGGCAGAAAUGUCCAGAUAUUUCAUGGGAGACUCAACUGGACAGCUCGUGCCGUAAGUGAAGCUGCACUUCUCAAGAGAAAGCUUGACCUCUACCAGAUGAACUGGUGUUGCACUGGAGUUUUCAAUUGGCUGGAUCUGGGCAGGAAGACCUCCACAGCGUACAUCCAGAAGCAGCGGUCUAG
This is a long non-coding RNA of Struthio camelus australis, 482 nucleotides long. RefSeq lists it as uncharacterized. NCBI's taxonomy places the organism in Eukaryota, Metazoa, Chordata, Aves, Struthioniformes, Struthionidae. The record is from RefSeq and is a predicted model, not a curated record.